GAAGAUGAAGAAGGCAUGAAGAGAGUAGUGAGGGAGCCCAGAAGGCUGUAUGCAGACCAGGGUUGGGCAGUUGGUACCUGUGAAGAAGCUUUUUGGCGGGUGUGGACCAACAAGAGGGAUGACCUGAGAAGACAACGAAGUGGAAAGGCAGAGGCCCACAGGUUGUCUGCUAAGAACAGCAAAAGGGUCAGAUCUAAACUGGAAAGCAGGAUGAAGGCCAUUGCAACUAUAGACUGACCAGAGAAGAAGAAGGAGAAAGUUCUUCCUCUCUUGAGGAAAGAGCUGACAUCACCUAUGGUGUCAGAUGAAGAGGAUGAAAAUCUUCUGUUGUCAACUGCUUUCUGGUGGGAAAGCAAGGAACUUUCUUCAUAUAAGCGGCAAUUGGACUACCAGCGGUUGUUCAAGGCUACUGCCAGAGGCCGAAAAAAUAUGAAGAUGUGGGGAAGACAUCCCACAGAAGUCCAACACGCUGAUCUGCCACUGGACAUGCCCAGUUGGGCAGUGAAAAGUUCAGUUGAAGAAGACCAGCUGAACAACACUGCUGAUUAUGAUUCCUGAGACGCAUUUCUGAUGUCCC
RNAcentral lists this long non-coding RNA (577 nucleotides) under Haliotis rubra (blacklip abalone). RNAcentral's name for it is "uncharacterized LOC124272966". The record is from RNAcentral. Lineage: Eukaryota; Metazoa; Mollusca; Gastropoda; Lepetellida; Haliotidae.